CCGCUGAACUUAAGCAUAUCAAUAAGCGGAGGAAAAGAAACCAACAGGGAUUGCCCUAGUAACGGCGAGUGAAGCGGCAACAGCUCAAAUUUGAAAUCUGGCUUCGGCCCGAGUUGUAAUUUGUAGAGGAAGCUUUUGGCGCGGCACCUACUGAGUCCCCUGGAACGGGGCGCCAGAGAGGGUGAGAGCCCCGUAUAGUGGGAUGCCUAGCCUCUGUAAAGCUCCUUCGACGAGUCGAGUAGUUUGGGAAUGCUGCUCAAAAUGGGAGGUAAAUUUCUUCUAAAGCUAAAUAUUGGCCAGAGACCGAUAGCGCACAAGUAGAGUGAUCGAAAGAUGAAAAGCACUUUGAAAAGAGGGUUAAACAGCACGUGAAAUUGUUGAAAGGGAAGCGCUUGUGACCAGACUUGCGCCCGGUUGAUCAUCCGGUGUUCUCACCGGUGCACUCCUCCGGGCUCAGGCCAGCAUCGGUUCUCGCGGGGGGAUAAAGGCCCAGGGAACGUAGCUCUUCCGGGAGUGUUAUAGCCCUGGGUGCAAUGCCCUCGCGGGGACCGAGGUUCGCGCAUCUGCAAGGAUGCUGGCGUAAUGGUCAUCAGCGACCCGUCUUGAAACACGGACCAAGGAGUCAAGGUUUUGCGCGAGUGUUUGGGUGUCAAACCCGCACGCGUAAUGAAAGUGAACGUAGGUGAGAGCUUCGGCGCAUCAUCGACCGAUCCUGAUGUAUUCGGAUGGAUUUGAGUAGGAGCGUUAAGCCUUGGACCCGAAAGAUGGUGAACUAUGCUUGGAUAGGGUGAAGCCAGAGGAAACUCUGGUGGAGGCUCGCAGCGGUUCUGACGUGCAAAUCGAUCGUCAAAUCUGAGCAUGGGGGCGAAAGACUAAUCGAACCAUCUAGUAGCUGGUUACCGCCGAAGUUUCCCUCAGGAUAGCAGUGCUGUUCUUCAGUUUUAUGAGGUAAAGCGAAUGAUUAGGGACUCGGGGGCGCUUUUUAGCCUUCAUCCAUUCUCAAACUUUAAAUAUGUAAGAAGCCCUUGUUACUUAAUUGAACGUGGGCAUUCGAAUGUACCAACACUAGUGGGCCAUUUU
This 1080-nucleotide ribosomal RNA is filed under the name Pseudorhypophila mangenotii. RNAcentral's name for it is "eukaryotic LSU rRNA". It matches the Rfam family "Eukaryotic large subunit ribosomal RNA", at positions 25 to 1137 of the family's 3401-position model. The record is from RNAcentral. Lineage: Eukaryota; Fungi; Ascomycota; Sordariomycetes; Sordariales; Naviculisporaceae.